UCACUGUAACCUCCACCUCCCAGGUUCAAGCAGUUCUCUGCCUCAGCCUCCUAAGUAGCUGGGAUUACUGGCACCCACCAUCACGCCUGGCUAAUUUUUGUAUUUUUAGUAGAGACGGGGUUUCACCAUCUUAGCUAGGCUGGUCUCAAACUCCUGACCUCAGAUGAUCCACCCGUCUUGGUCUCCCGAAGUGCUGGGAUUACAGGCAUGAGCCACUGCGCCCAGCCGAGGCUGUGACUUUUAACGUGCCCUUGUCUUAGUCUCUUCAAGAGAGAAUGAAAAUUAUCAAGCUCCUGCUAAAUACACUGUGUAAAAGUAGAUGUGGACAUUACCAGAAGGAUCUCUAAAAGAUUUUGAGUUCACAUGUGAGUAUGCACACACCUCACAAACCCACGUGCACAUGCGCUUUCGCGUGCACGGAAUCAGAGAUAUAGCAUCACAUGGAAUCACAGAAAUAGAAACAUGUGCAUAGCCACAUAUAGAAAGAUACAUGGACAGACACACACCCCACUGAAAUGUCAAACUGUAAUAUUUAAAUGCAUGUCUAUUGAAGUUAAAAAAAAAAAACCUGCAUUUUUAUCCCAGCUCCAUCACUUACUAGUUCAAUGAUUUGAGGUCAUUUUCUUGUCUUCUCACCUGUAACAUGAGAGUAAUAUUAGCACCUAUCUUUUAGAGUUCUUUGAAGAUGUAGUGAAAUGAAGGGUUUAGCCCAGUGCUUAGAAUGUCAUAGAUGUUGCUGCUAUUGCUGUUAUCUUUUGGUUUUGGUACAAAGUGCUUAGCUAGAUAGGAUUUGGUUUUUGUGGUCAAACUGCAUGAUUAUAUCAUAGAGAUGUAUUAAUCAACUUUUUUUGUAAAGGUAUUAAUAAAGAAUAAUUUAUUAAUGUAAUAUAGAUUACAUCCACAAACAAGGUCAUUUCUGAAAUUCUCAGCGAUGAUAAGGGAUUAUUACUGUCUCUGGCAAAUGGAAAGACCUGAAACAAAUAUUUCCUGCUAGUGUGGUUUGUUGUUGUUAUUACUGUCGUUAGUAUUCUUUUCCUCUUUUCAGGAGGAGAUGGAAGAUUGAGAGCAGAGUGCAAGAAUGGGAAGAGGGCUUCGUGCCCUGUGCACGUUUGCCACCUAGUGACCAAACUGAAUGGUGUGCUUCUCACCUCAGCCUGAUAGCCUGACCUUGACUCCUGAGUUCCACGAUCGCUUCACAACUGCAAGUCACCAUCAUACAAAAUUUGAGUUUCCCUAAGUCCGCGCCUUUGAGAGCUUUGGAACGAUAUGCAAGUUCAAGUCACCAUCCUGUUUCUUGCUACCUCCUGUGAGAAGACCAACAUUUGGGUUACUUGUUUCUACUCUUGUUCUUCUGCUUGUUAUUGUUGCCUCUGCAGCCAUUGAUCACACACGUGUUGUCAUACAAAAACUGGUUAGCCUUUUUAUUUGUCUUGUGAAUUUUAUCAUUUGGUUCUUAAGUAUUACAAAUUAAUAUUGUGUACUCUCAUUGAUAUACAACUUUCAGUCAUUGUAAAUAUGCGUGAGUUAGGGGUGAGAAUGGCAUGCAAGCAAAAGAACAAGGAGAGGGAUGAUAGAGAUGCAAGAAGAGUAAAGAGGGCAAGAAAGUUUAUGUUAAUAGCGAACACAAUGAAAGUUCUUUAAAUGCUUGAUAAUGGUGAAAGCAACACUUCCUAGGGCAUAUUUUUGGUGUUAAUGAACCUACACAUCAUACAAUAAAGAAAAUUGAGAAAGCAGUUGGGGCCAGUGAAUCGGGGGCACACAAGAAUCAUUGAGAAAAUCAUACACAACUCAAAAUGCCACAAUAGGGAAAAUAUAAAGAGAUUUGCACUUGUGGCUUCUAAAACAGAGAAGGUUGAAUAGGUCUCUUUCUGUGUGUAAAAUCUGCCAGUGAGCAUCACAAAAAUGCAAAUUUAAAUUUCAAUCUGGAUGGAAAGUUAUAAAAUUCAUUGCAAGUAAUGGGUGGUUGGGUAGGUUUAAGAAAUGCCAGGUGGGUGGAUCACUUGAGGUCUGGAGUUUGCAACUAGCCUGGCCAACAUGGUGAAACCUUGUCUCUACUAAAAAUACAAAAAUUAGCCAGGCAUGGUGGCGGGUACCUGUAAUCUCAGCUACUCAGGAGGCUGAGGCAGGAGAAUCGCUUGAACCUAGGAGGCAGAGGUUGCAGUGAGCUGAGAUCGUGCCAUCGCACUCCAGCCUGGGUGACGAGAGCAAAGCUCUGUUUCAAAAAAAGAAAAGAAGAGAAAAGAGAAGAGAAGAAAGAAGAGAAGAGAAGCGAAGCAAAGCGAAGAGAAGCGAAGCGAAGAGAAGCGAAGCGAAGCGAAGCUGUGGCCUGUAAUGAAAAGAAGUGGAGAAGUGACUGUCAGAGGAAGCAGAUUAAGGAGCUGCCGGAGAGUAUCCUGAAUACCUGAAGAAGACGAUUGAGGACAAUGGCAAUUUGCCUGAGCAGGUUGUCAGUGCUGCUGAAACUCUGGAAGCAAACGCCUACUUGCACAUCUAUUGCAAAGCAUGAGAAAAGGACCAGAGGCUUGAAGCCUGGAAAAGACAAACUCAAAGUUCUGCUUUGUUCCAGUGUGUUCUGAUUAAACCCAUGUUGCUUUACAGAUUCCAAAAUUGUUACCUUCUUUAAAGAGAAAGCCAGAAACACUUUUCUGUGUACAUGAAGGGAAACCAUGAAAUAUGGAUCACUGAGAAACUCUUUUUGAACUGGUCUUUGAAGUGUUUUGUUCUGAGGUUAAAUAACAUUUAAAUGAAAAAAAAAUCUUGACUUCACAGUGUUGUGAUUCUGGACACUGCUCCUACAGACAAAAAUGCAGUCAUAAAUGCUGCUCCUUGUGUUCAAGUCAUCUCCAUUACACCCAGUACGACUCCACUCCUUCAACUCUUGCAUCUGAGAGUGCUAGUGAUGUACUAUGCUCUGCAUAUAUUUUGACUACCUGAAGAUCUUAUCAGAGACACCAGAACUUUACCAUGAAAGUGGCUUGGCAACAUUUCUCCGUUUGUAAUGCUUUAACAGGUGUAGAAGAAUCAGUGAGACAAAUAAAACAAUCAACACUUAAUGAAGUCUGGCAGAAAUUUUGGAAUGAGGUUGUGACUGAUUCGGAAGGUUUCCUUCCAGUGGUAGAAGAAAUUGAAAAUAUUGUAACAUCUGCAAACCAUUUGAAUAGUGAAGGCCUUGAAGACAUUGAGUUAAGUGACAUUACUGAAUUGUUAGACUCUCACCUUCAAAAGAUAGUUGAGAAAUAUUUUGGAGAUGUGAUCACAUCAAAAGGCAAUAAAAGAAGCCAGCAUAGGUUAACAUCCAGAACUCUAAGAAUGUUCAAGUAUCUACUCCACAAAUGAAAUUGUCACAAUGAUUCAAAAGAAAGAGAUCCUUUGGUGGGCUACAUAUUGACUUUCAGGGGAGAAGAGGUUGACAUUAAGCCAUGUCAUUCAAACCCGUUCUGCAAACAGGAAAACAGGAAGUAGAAACGCCGCACACAGAUAGUUAAACCUUGGGAUUCAGACUCUGAUGGCUCUGAUGAUAUGGUGAUUUGUGUGCUGGGGAUGAAAGAGGAGCAGAAGACUGAGCUUACAUCUCUUCAGACGAAAUGCAAUUUUCUCUAUUCUUUCCCUGUUACUAUUGUUACGACCAAGCAUUUUCAUUGAUCCAUUAUCAUCUUCAUCUUGAGAUCACAAAGGAAGUUAAUUGCCUGAUAUCCACUCUUGUUAAUAUAAAAUAUCAAUGAUAUUUAUUUUAUUGUUUUAGUUUGGUGAACAAACUAAUUGUCUAGGCUUUCAUAAUACUCAUGUCCCUGCCUCAUUUUUUCCUAAAAGGUCUUAAAUUCCUCCAACAUGGGUACUCUGAGAGUUUCGGGAACUCAACUAUAGCAUUUAAGGAGUGGGCUGCUACUGUACUUGGCUGGAUAAUUUGAUUUUGUACUCCUGAAAUUUGUUUUAAUGCUGAUUAAGCCUAACUUGUGAUCUCACCAGAAAGGAUUAGUUUGGUAUAAGUUAAAUUAAUUUCUUUUCCAGCAAUUGUAUAUGUUAGCUAUUGGCUGAUCCUGAAAAGCAGUAUAUUUAUGUUAAAUUUCCAGAUUUCCUUUGGUAGCUAAUCAAGGAGGAACAGCUGCUAGAGUUCAUUUUCAUAGAUUCUUUCUGUUCUCAUAUCUGGCCGCCUCAGUGAUUUGAAGAAUUGAAUAUCCUCCAAAAAAAUGGAUAUUAUUACCUCCUGUUCUCUGAUGGUGAUGGAGACUUCAUUCUCAGAUUGUUUUCAAAUUCCUUUCAUAAUUCCAUAUAUUUACUUCAUUCGAUUCAAUUGUGUUACAAAAGUUAUUGUCAUGGUUGUUUUAAUUUUGGAUGUUUGGAAUUUUCCAGGCAGAUUUAACAGAGGAAAAAAAACCCACAAAGCCAGAGAUAUGACGCUGUUAUCUUGUUCUAAGAAUUUUGGGCAAAGGCAUAGGCUGAACCUGCCUGUUCUUUUGGCUGCUUUACACAUUCCCAACUGAUGUCCAUUUUGAACUCAGUUGGACAGUUAUUCUGGGGAAUAGAGAGGAAGUCCAAAUAACAUCGCUGUUGUUUCUGUCUUAAUUGCUGUUUGUGCCGGAUUCACGGCACUGGCCUCAUCAUUAUAUCUGAUAAUGAUGCACAGAAAACCUGAAUAGAGAAAAGAAGAAAGAUAAUUCAUUGGCAUGUGCUUGCCAAAAAGAGACUUUAUAUAACUUGAGAAAGCAUAAAGACAACCUGGAAUGAGGAAAUGUAUGUACAGUAAUGAAAAAAAAUGCUUUAAACAGCUGUGUCAAAAACUGACAUCAGAGAGUAAAUUGAAUUUGGUUUUGUAGGAAGCAGGAAACAAGCCCACUCAAACGUGAAAUUUGGCAUGAGGGAGUCCAGUAACUUUCUCCUCAGACUGUGAACUAUAUGUGAGUUUGAUAUUUUGAAGGAAAAGGAAAAAAAAAAAGUUUAAAAGGGCUUCCGCACAGCAAAUGAAACUAGCAUCAGAAUGAACAGGCAACCUAAAGAAUGGGAGAAAAAUUUUGCAAUCUACCCAUCUGACAAAGGUCUAAUAUCCAGAAUCUGCAAGGAACUUCAACAAAUUUACAAGAAAAAACAACCCCAUCAAAAAGUGGGCAAAUGAUAUGAACAGACACUUCUCAAAAGAAGACACUUACGCAGCCAACAAACAUGAAAAAAAGCUCAUCAUCACUGAUCAUUAGAGAAAUGCCAAUCAAAACCACAAUGAGAGCCAGACUGGGAUCCGGUGCGGAGAGCCCCUCAUCCUGGAAAAUUGGCCUCGGCCAGAAAGGCAGCCACCCCCUCGCCCAUCAUGCAUGACACGUUCGUGAAGAACCUGGCGCUAAACCAUUCCUAGGCAACCUGUUUCUGGGUCAGGGUUUCGUGAGUAGCAGAGCAGAUUCCUCGUUGCCAUCUAUUGAAAGUGAGCCCUCCACACAAGGGUUUGUCUGCCUGCGUGCUCAGGGGGCCGUUGGACCCGCGCGUCCGGUGCUGUCCCUCUUCCUUCCUUCCGCCACCC
RNAcentral lists this long non-coding RNA (5506 nucleotides) under Pan troglodytes (chimpanzee). RNAcentral describes it as "long non-coding RNA NONPTRT018365". The record is from RNAcentral. Lineage: Eukaryota; Metazoa; Chordata; Mammalia; Primates; Hominidae.